GAUGAACGCUGGCGGCGUGCCUAAUACAUGCAAGUCGAGCGAACGGGCGAGAAGCUUGCUUCUCUGAUGUUAGCGGCGGACGGGUGAGUAACACGUGGAUAGCCUACCUAUAAGACUGGGAUAACUUCGGGAAACCGGAGCUAAUACCGGAUAAUAUUUUGAACCGCAUGGUUCAAAAGUGAAAGACGGUCUUGCUGUCACUUAUAGAUGGAUCCGCGCUGCAUUAGCUAGUUGGUAAGGUAACGGCUUACCAAGGCAACGAUGCAUAGCCGACCUGAGAGGGGGAACGGCCACACUGGAACUGAGACACGGUCCAGACUCCUACGGGAGGCAGCAGUAGGGAAUCGUCCGCAAUGGGCGAAAGCCUGACGGAGCAACGCCGCGUGAGUGAUGAAGGUCUUCGGAUCGUAAAACUCUGUUAUUAGGGAAGAACAUAUGUGUAAGUAACUGUGCACAUCUUGACGGUACCUAAUCAGAAAGCCACGGCUAACUACGUG
Molecule: ribosomal RNA, 497 nt
Filed under: uncultured bacterium
Lineage: Bacteria
Description: partial 16S ribosomal RNA
Rfam family: Bacterial small subunit ribosomal RNA
Source: RNAcentral